Molecule: ribosomal RNA, 468 nt
Filed under: uncultured bacterium
Lineage: Bacteria
Description: partial 16S ribosomal RNA
Rfam family: Bacterial small subunit ribosomal RNA
Source: RNAcentral
GACGAACGCUGGCGGCGUGCAUAACACAUGCAAGUCGAACGGAAAGGCCCUGCUUUUGUGGGGUGCUCGAGUGGCGAACGGGUGAGUAACACGUGAGCAACCUGCCCUUGACUUUGGGAUAACUUCAGGAAACUGGGGCUAAUACCGGAUAGGAGCUCCUGCUGCAUGGUGGGGGUUGGAAAGUUUCGGCGGUUGGGGAUGGACUCGCGGCUUAUCAGCUUGUUGGUGGGGUAGUGGCUUACCAAGGCUUUGACGGGUAGCCGGCCUGAGAGGGUGACCGGCCACAUUGGGACUGCGAUACGGCCCAGACUCCUACGGGAGGCAGCAGUGGGGAAUAUUGCACAAUGGGCGGAAGCCUGAUGCAGCAACGCCGCGUGCGGGAUGACGGCCUUCGGGUUGUAAACCGCUUUCGCCUGUGACGAAGCGUGAGUGACGGUAAUGGGUAAAGAAGCACCGGCUAACUACGUG